This 254-nucleotide ribosomal RNA is filed under the name uncultured bacterium. RNAcentral's name for it is "partial 16S ribosomal RNA". It matches the Rfam family "Bacterial small subunit ribosomal RNA", at positions 524 to 776 of the family's 1533-position model. The record is from RNAcentral.
UACGGAGGGUGCAAGCGUUUGUCCGGAAUCACUGGGCGUAAAGGGCGCGUAGGCGGCUCAUGAAGGCUGUGGUGAAAGUCCGGGGCUCAACCUCGGAUCGGCCGUGGCGACUCGUGGGCUGGAGCACUGUAGAGGCGGGUGGAAUUCCACGUGUAGCGGUGAAAUGCGUAGAUAUGUGGAGGAACACCAGUGGCGAAGGCGACUUUCUGGGCUGUAACUGACGCUGAGGCGCGAAAGCGUGGGUAGCAAACAGG